GUGUAUAAUCAACAGUAACAUUCCGAAAACAUGGAGAAAAACUAAAACUCUAUCUUACUGUCUCGCUUCAGUCAGAUUUUACGUUACAGAUUAUAUCAGUAACUAGUUUUUUUGCAACCGUGUCGUGCAAACAUCACCCUCAUUAAGCAAUGUUCGUGAACACAAAAAGGGUCCGUGUACUUUCACAAAUGGAGCGAAACAAGGAUGCUUCGUGGAGUUUUAGGACGCGACCCGUUUUAUUAAGAAGUCCCACCGAUCCCCGGUGACGUUAAUUGGAAACGUUUUCAGAAGUUUACUGUGAAAUUUAAGAAAUGUGCAGUAAUGGGUUCAAUCCAAAGCUCCGUCCCCCUGGCAAAGACCGGCAGUGUCAAUACCAGAGUAGCGCUGACCUUGUAUCACAACAGGUUGAAUGUCACUUGUGGUUGAGAAGAUAAUCCAAUAUCCCUCACUGCCCCGUGGGCAUCAGCAAGAUGAGAGGAACUCAAGGCACUGGAGGUGGCAUUGUGCUCCUCAGCCACAACACACCUUCUGUUCUCAAGGACAAACAGAUGGCGUCACGAGGCUGCUUCGUCGAGGCAAUGUAGUUCAAAGGCCAGAAGACUGCUUUGCAUCACAAACCUGUUCCAAAACUGGUUGGAGGUGGCCAAAUCCAGUCAGACACGCGGGAAGGAUGAGUCGAUGGGGCCACGACUGCCACAACCGUCGGCACACAUCACAGUGCACGUCUGGGAUCUGAGCUCCGCAGUCGCCCUCUCGGGCCAGCUUUACCUGCUUCAUUCAAGCCCCCGCUGAGAUUCCAGUUUUGAUAUGUCGACUCCCUGCCGGUCCACGGAAAUGUACCGACCUCCUCCUGUCUUUUGCCGUUUUCCCCAUGACUCAUCUGUGUCCAGGAGAAGUGAGGCCGUUCGGUGGUAAGAGCCUCUUGGGCGUUGCUUGACCUAGGGCCAUGACCUGUACAGCUGGCCGCAGGGCCUGGUGGCAACGGACAUCAGCGUGAGAGUGUGAAAUGAAGCUGUGAUGUGUGUUAAGAGUCCAGUCCAGUCAAGUGUCGAUUGUAUGAGGCAAAGAGGAAAUUAGGUUUAAAGUGCAAAUAAAAUGAGUUGCCCAGCCCCCACCCCCCCAAAGUAGUGGAAGAAUGGAUAAAGAAGGUUGGUGCCAGCUUGGCCCUGGUUCAAGAAGCCCAAUCUUUUAUAGUAGGAAGAUUUAAUUCUUCUAAACGGGUGUGUUGUGCUAGCUGGAUAAAACUAAUUUACUGAACAUCUACCUGAAUAUAGUGCUCUUAAAGAUAUUAAAAGCCCAGCUGUUUCCAAUGCAAUCAAUGCAGUUAUACUGAGAAUCCAUGAGUGGGUCUCGAUUUUAGUUUUUUAAAUGAUUAACUAUUUAGGCUUUCACUACAAAAUGUGGUUCUUGUAAAAAUACUCGCUGGCAUACAACCGUAUGAGAUGUUUCCCCUAAAACAAUUACUAUCUUACUUCCUAGAACAGGGUUUCUGUAAGUCGUUCAUGUGGUAAUCCCACUCAGCGCUUUGGAAGCUUCAAAAUAACAGAAGAUGCUUCUUUCCCCUGACAUUUCUUUUUCCAAACAUUUGGCAUGAAGACAAAAAGUGGCAUCUUACUAAAUUUGAAUCAGCAUAAACAGAAUGUGGCAGUAAGACAUGUUAAGUUAGACUGGCAGGCUCAGCUCCACUGUAACCAUGCUUCUUUCAAACGUAAGGAAUCCAACCUGUUGGUCCACAAAACACUGUUGCUAUGGAACGCCAUUUUGUUUCGAUCUUUGUGCGACCACAAUAUUUGACAUGUCAAAUAAACGUUUAAUUUGAAACUAUAAAUAUAGAAAAUGUAUUGUAGGAUGUUGUGUACCGUUAGGUAUUAUAGAAGAUUCAAAACAAUGUAGCUGUCAAAUGAAAAUAAACUUUUGUAGGCCUGUCUGACCGGAAUUCAGAGAGGUCCUGAGUACCAUAGUAUGUUAGUAAAUAUGGCUCUGUAUGUUCCUAUGCCAGUCGCUG
Long non-coding RNA from Esox lucius (northern pike), 2005 nucleotides. RefSeq lists it as uncharacterized. Lineage: Eukaryota; Metazoa; Chordata; Actinopteri; Esociformes; Esocidae. The transcript has 4 exons. The record is from RefSeq and is a predicted model, not a curated record.